UAAAUAUCUAAAUUUAAGUAUAUCAUUUACAAUGAUAAGAUGUUUUAAUUAACUUUAUUUAAUUUAUUUUAUUAUUAUUUUUUUUUUUA
Molecule: transfer RNA, 89 nt
Filed under: Phloeomyzus passerinii
Lineage: Eukaryota; Metazoa; Arthropoda; Insecta; Hemiptera; Phloeomyzidae
Description: tRNA-Val
Source: RNAcentral